Molecule: ribosomal RNA, 760 nt
Filed under: uncultured bacterium
Lineage: Bacteria
Description: bacterial SSU rRNA
Rfam family: Bacterial small subunit ribosomal RNA
Source: RNAcentral
UUACUAAACUGUUACUGACGCUGAUGCACGAAAGCGUGGGGAGCGAACAGGAUUAGAUACCCUGGUAGUCCACGCCGUAAACGAUGCUCACUCGCUGUUUGCGAUACACAGCAAGCGGCCAAGCGAAAGCAUUAAGUGAGCCACCUGGGGAGUACGAUCGCAAGGUUGAAACUCAAAGGAAUUGACGGGGGGCCCGCACAAGCGGAGGAACAUGUGGUUUAAUUCGAUGAUACGCGAGGGAACCUUACCUGGGCUUAAAUGUAGAGCGACAGAUUGUGAAAGCAGUCCUUCUUCGGACGAUCUACAAGGUGCUGCAUGGUUGUCGUCAGCUCGUGCCGUGAGGUGUCGGGUUAAGUCCCAUAACGAGCGCAACCCUUAUCGUUAGUUGCCAGCGGGGUUAAGCCGGGGACUCUAGCGAGACUGCCACCGUAAGUGUGAGGAAAGUGGGGAUGACGUCAAAUCAGCACGCCCUUAUGUCCAGGGCUACACACGUGUUACAAUGGCCGAUACAAAGGGCAGCUACCUGGUGACUGGAUGCUAAUCUCCAAAGUCGGUCUCAGUUCGGAUCGAAGUCUGCAACCCGACUUCGUGAAGCUGGAUUCGCUAGUAAUCGCAUAUCAGCCAUGAUGCGGUGAAUACGUUCCCGGGCCUUGUACACACCGCCCGUCAAACAAUGGAAGCUGGGGGUACCUGAAGUCUGUAACCGCAAGGAGCGGCCUAGGGUAAAACUAGUAACUGGUGUUAAGUCGUAACAAGGUAA